RNAcentral lists this unclassified non-coding RNA (2167 nucleotides) under Lucilia cuprina (Australian sheep blowfly). RNAcentral describes it as "unconventional myosin-Ib, transcript variant X1". The record is from RNAcentral. Lineage: Eukaryota; Metazoa; Arthropoda; Insecta; Diptera; Calliphoridae.
GGCCACCGUCUCUGUCAGCAAUAAUGGAGUCAACUGGAAAAAUAUUAGAACUUAAUUAAUUAUUUUUUAGUUUUAAUUAAAUAAACCACUAACUUUUUGUAAAGCUGACAUUUUUGCGUUAAUACGUUAAUGUGAAGGAAGAAAAAAAACUUUACAUCAACAGCUGUUAAUGACAUAACAUUUACCUGUAGUAUGUUCAGUGUUUGAAUUCCGGGUUAACAAUUUAUUUAGAUUGGCAAAUGUCAUUUAGUAAUAAGAAGCAGAAUUAUUACAAGAAAAAACUGUGUUUUUCUAAUAUUGUUUGUUAAGUUGAUUUUUUUAUAUUAAUUUUCUAUUAAAGUUUCUAAAGAAUUUAUAUACAAAUGUUAAAUAUUCAUACAGUUGCUAAUAAUUUAUGUGAAAGAUAUAAAUUUAUCUUAAUAAUUCUAUAAUUUUCUCAAAAGAAAAUAAGAAAUAUUUUAUGUUACUUUUGGCCAAUAGUAGCAGCUAUUGUUUUUAAUAAUGGAACAAGAAAUCGGUACGUGGGAUUCGGUAUUAUUGGAAAAUCUUUCUGAAGAUAGUUUCAUUAAUAAUAUACAUCAGCGAUAUAAACGUGAUCAUAUUUAUACCUACAUUGGCACCUCAGUCGUUGCAGUAAAUCCAUAUCAUCACAUAUCAGAACAUUCGUUGGAAUUAAUACGCAAUUAUGGCAGUAAGGGUAUUUUUCAAUUGCCGCCACAUAUAUAUGGUUUGUCAAAUCUGGCCUUUCAAUCCCUUAAGGAUCAAAGUGAAGACCAGUGUAUUUUAUUAACAGGUGAGAGUGGUUCUGGUAAAACAGAAUCUUUUAAAAUGAUUGUAAAUUUCUUAACACACAUACAAGAAAGAUCGAAAGAAUCAACAAGCUCUCAACGAAAACAAACUACUGCCAGUUCAACAGCCGGCGCAGCUGUUGCUAGCGGUUGUUCAGUGGUUGCCAGCCACAAACAUCGUCGUACCUCUAGCUCUUGUUCUGUCGGUCCAUCGCCGAAUUAUAUGCUUUGCAAAAAUUCUUCAGCUACGGCUAGUACCACUACUAGCUUGUCAAUGCAACGACGACAGUCGCCUUCACCAGGUCCGACAGCACGAAGAUGUGACAUAGCAUUGCAGCAUCGUUCACGGGCAGAUAGUACAGAGCGUCAGGCUAAAUGUUCAAAUGUGCGAGAAAAAAUGGUUGAGUUUGAUUUUUCACAUCACAAAAGUAGUGAGAAUAUAACAACUAUUGAUAGUUCAUACACCACAGCUGCAUCGGUUCACUACAGUCAAGCGCAACAGGGUACAGCAUCGGCAUUAAACCUAUCGCCACAUCCUACAAAAUCAUGUUUUAAACAUCAUCAAUCAACGCAAGUACCCUGCAAUACUGCCACUCCCUUAAAAUCAACAUUAUCAACGACUUCUUCAUCUUCAUAUGCUCGAAGUGCUUCGCCGAAAUAUCUGACAGGUUCCAACGCCGGAGGUUGUCGACAAUGUGGUCAUAGUAAAUGUACAAGAGCGCAAAGUUUCGAUAGAGAUGAACCAGAUUUCGGUUUUCAAAAACCCUCCGGAAGUCGUAGUUUAUCUGCUUAUCCCUCUGUACAACUACAACGUGGCAGUUGUUCGAAUCUUGUGCGUCAAACCUCAACCGAAAGUUAUACACGUGAUGAGCGUCUCUCACUAAUGGGUUCCAUGCAACGCAUUUCUCUUUAUGAUGCACAUAAAUUGAAUCAAACAUCUGCACAAAAAUCUCCAUCUUCAUCAUCGUCAACAAGAAAAUACAAAAGUCCUUCAAAAAGAUUAAGGGAGUGUGUAUCAUAUGCAGAUGUGUUCCUCGAGGCCAUGGGUAAUGCAGCAACUCAUAAGAAUAAUAAUUCGAGUCGUUAUGGAAAAUUAUUUGAUAUUGAAAUUGAUUUUAAAGGAGAUCCUAUUGGUGUUCAUAUUACACAUUACUCGUGUAACAAAUACCGCAAUAGGAGAAAGAAAUUUUCAUAUAUUUUAUCAAUUGUUAUUGGGUGGUGACUUGCAAUUGUUAAAGUCCUUAAAAUUAUAUCGUAAUGUGGAAAAAUAUGAAAUUUUGAAAAAUACAACUGCCAUUGAAGAAGAUCGCACUAAUUUCCAUUAUACAAAGAAAUCUUUAGAGGUUCUUGGUCUAUCAUGUGAUGAAAUAAAUGCCAUU